Streptococcus thermophilus LMG 18311 is the source of this 98-nucleotide regulatory RNA element. It matches the Rfam family "23S methyl RNA motif". NCBI's taxonomy places the organism in Bacteria, Bacillati, Bacillota, Bacilli, Lactobacillales, Streptococcaceae. The record is from Rfam.
CAUUCACUAUUUUAAAUCUAACCUGUCAUGAUUUAAGCUAAUGAAUGUCCAUAACCAUGUCGUCUGCUGAGCUUGACUCCGGGCGAUAUGGCAUUUUU